Small nucleolar RNA from Rattus norvegicus (Norway rat), 131 nucleotides. Ensembl annotates it as small nucleolar RNA SNORA17. Lineage: Eukaryota; Metazoa; Chordata; Mammalia; Rodentia; Muridae. The record is from Ensembl.
UCUGCCCCAAGAAUCUCUACUAAUGUGGCUGCUGUGUGUCAUGUGUCAGUAGGUGGCAGAGAGGAAAGAGACUACGGUUCAUGCUCAGUGUUCUGACCUAUGAACACCUGAACAAUGCACAGCUUGAAAUA